Molecule: ribosomal RNA, 406 nt
Filed under: uncultured bacterium
Lineage: Bacteria
Description: partial 16S ribosomal RNA
Rfam family: Bacterial small subunit ribosomal RNA
Source: RNAcentral
AUUGAACGCUGGCGGCAGGCCUAACACAUGCAAGUCGAACGAGUGGCGGACUGGUGAGUAAUUUCUGGGAAUCUGCCUGAUGGAGGGGGAUAACUACUGGAAAAGGUAGCUAAUACCGCAUACACUCAGAUGUGCCCAGGUGGGAUUAGAGUGUUGGUGGGGUAACGGCUCACCAAGGCGACGAGUCCUAGCUGGUCUGAGAGGAGGACCAGCCACAAGGGAACUGAGACACGGGCCAGACUCCUACGGCAGGCAGCAGUGGGGAAUAGUUGACAAUGGACGAAAGCCUGAGGCAGCAAUGCCGCGUGUAUGAAGAAGGCCUUCGGGUUGUAAAGUACUUUCGGCGGGGAGGCGUUACCCGAAGAAGAAGCACCGGCUAACUCCGUGCCAGAAGCGGCGGUAAUAC